UGGGGAAUCUUAGACAAUGGGGGAAACCCUGAUCUAGCCAUGCCGCGUGAGUGACGAAGGCCCUAGGGUCGUAAAGCUCUUUCGCCAGGGAAGAUAAUGACGGUACCUGGUAAAGAAACCCCGGCUAACUCCGUGCCAGCAGCCGCGGUAAUACGGAGGGGGUUAGCGUUGUUCGGAAUUACUGGGCGUAAAGCGCACGUAGGCGGACCAGUCAGUCAGAGGUGAAAUCCCGGGGCUCAACCUCGGAACUGCCUUUGAUACUGCUGGUCUCGAGUUCGAGAGAGGUGAGUGGAAUUCCGAGUGUAGAGGUGAAAUUCGUAGAUAUUCGGAGGAACACCAGUGGCGAAGGCGGCUCACUGGCUCGAUACUGACGCUGAGGUGCGAAAGCGUGGGGAGCAAACAGGAUUAGAUACCCCCGUAGUCC
This 424-nucleotide ribosomal RNA is filed under the name uncultured prokaryote. RNAcentral's name for it is "bacterial SSU rRNA". It matches the Rfam family "Bacterial small subunit ribosomal RNA", at positions 355 to 796 of the family's 1533-position model. The record is from RNAcentral.